This 2036-nucleotide long non-coding RNA is filed under the name Homo sapiens (human). RNAcentral's name for it is "non-protein coding lnc-FAM173A-1:2". Lineage: Eukaryota; Metazoa; Chordata; Mammalia; Primates; Hominidae. The record is from RNAcentral.
UGAGAGGGAGAGCAGAUGUCAGGAGGAGCUACACCCACAUUCCGGGGAGGGGCCGCUGCUGGGUGGGGGGCACGUGGGGACCUGCACUCAUGCAAGCUUCUGCUCUGCUGCACCCACCAGCCCCGUCCUUGCCCGCACCCUUGCCUGCUUCCCUGGCUGGCUCCCACUUGCCUCCCGUGCCAGGUGCUUCUGGGGCUCAGCAGGAGAGGAAAGGGGCAGAGGGGCAUAGGGUCCCUCGGGUACGGUGGGGGCAGGCGGGCGCACAGCGCUCCGGCUCUGAGCCAGGCCUGUGAGGGAAGGGGCUGCAGGCUGGCAGGGUGCCGACUUCCCCCAUGGCUGCUGUGAGCCCGCAGAGUCAUCCUUGGCCCCGUCCCGCCCUUGGGGAAGAAUGGGCCCCUCUGUCCUCAGGCCCCUUCGACGUGCUGAGCAUCCAGACGUGGCGAGGAGCCCGAAGGGUGUGGGGUCCCCUCUGCAGGGUCCUGCUUGUUGCCUGUUUCCGGCGGGCGGGGUGCACAAUGGGGUCUCUAAGGACCGUUUCCCGCCACUGGCCCCAUUGUCACUGUCUCCGCCUUCCUCCUCGGCCUUUCAGCCGCAUAAAGGGCCAGUGAGGUUUGGGACAGCCACAGCCCAAGGCUCCGAGGCUAAAAGCCCCUGGGUGGGGGUGUUCCAGGACACCUGGCCCUGUGUGAGCUGCCUCCUCUCACCCCAACCCCUCGGAUCCUGGGAAAGAGACAGCCAUGGCUCAAGGGCCAGGGACCCCUGGGCUGAGCCCCAGAAAUGGCUUUCCAUUCUCGCCUGGGCCGGGGUGGGGGUGGAGGCCAGAGGCCCUGCCCAGGCAGAUGAAGCCCCCAGCUUUCAAGGGGGAAACUGAGGCUGUGUGAGGGACACAGCUGUGCAGGGCCCACAAACACGGUCCUUUCUCUAGGUUAGCGGAUGCAGAUGCCUGAUGAGUGCCAUGCCCUCUGUGGACACCUGGGGAGGGGGGUCACCUCCAGCGCCGCCCUGGGACUUCCACUGCACGUGCAAGAGACUUACCCUUUCACACAGAUCACCUGCCUGCCGCAGGGCUGAUGAGGAUGGGUGAGGAGCGCAGCCACUGGGUGUCAUGCACUGUGGGGGUUCUCCCACCUUCUGCCCCUCCUCAGGUUCCUUGCUGCUUCUCUCCUCUCCCAACUGUGGCACGCUGAGGGCUCAGGCACAGGACCGCUCCUCUGGGGCAGCCUCCAAUAACCCUUGGACAACCUCCACUUUUUCAUCUUCAGCCCUGACCACUCCCUGGGGCCCAUAGCCUUACAUCCAUCUGCCCCCAGCCCAAACACUUCUGCAAACACUAGAAAAGGAGGUAGCCCGUGUGCCCUCCUGCACCGCCUCCUCCACUCCUGUCUUGGAGAGGCUUUCCCGUGGGCCGAGCAACCCCCUUACCUUUGGCACUUGCCCUGAUUCUCUGGCCAGCUUCCUACAACCUCUCCUUUUCAGCCACACCCAAGUCCACCUGUUCACAAACACCCUGGGCUGGGCCCUGGCCGAACCCUGGCUUCUACCUACCUGUCUCAGGAAGUGCCUGAGCCUUGCACCUACAGACCCUCCCAGAGAAAGCCCUGGCUUUGCAACCAGCUGUCUUCUCAUGAGACACAGGGCCACAGGAGCACCACGGUGCCCAAAUGGGUCUUGGAGCAUUAGACCAGGGGCUUCAUGCCUGCCCUGGGGACAGGUGGCCAAAGUGGCAUGGGAGAUAGGGAGACAGUGUGGGUGAGCAGGUGGGCAGGAGCUACAGGAGCCUGGGGCCUGUGGAUCACAGACACCGCCAGGCAAGUGCCAGUUCACACAGGUACAGGUGGCUGCAGAGUGCCCAAAGGCCAAGCAGCAGAGUGCCUGGUGUGGACGGGAGAGGAGUGGGGAGGUUGGGCGCAGUGGCUCACGCCUGUAAUCCCAACACUUUGGGAGGCCCAGGCAAGCAGAUCAUGAGGUCAGGAGAUGGAGACCAUCCUGGCCAACAUGGUGAAACCGUCUCUAAUAAAACACAAAAAAUUAGCCAG